CAUUGCAACAUGAUUCCACAUCUAUGAAUAAAAAUUUGGGCUAGCAAACAUGUCAACAAGGUGUAAAGGAUCCAUAUUAAGAUACUAAGCUAAAAUGAUACCAAAUGAACAACAUGCCAUACCCAAUACGAAGACUAAGCUAAAGCAUUGCACAAUGUUCAUGUGGAUCACUCACCAAGAUAUAUUACAAAGCUAGCAUGGCAAGAUGUACAUGAGAUCACACAUGCUAACAUGAAAAGGUGGC
This 244-nucleotide long non-coding RNA is filed under the name Setaria italica (foxtail millet). Its description in RNAcentral is "long non-coding RNA (SITA_LNC000353)". The record is from RNAcentral. Lineage: Eukaryota; Viridiplantae; Streptophyta; Magnoliopsida; Poales; Poaceae.